Molecule: long non-coding RNA, 2147 nt
Filed under: Helianthus annuus (common sunflower)
Lineage: Eukaryota; Viridiplantae; Streptophyta; Magnoliopsida; Asterales; Asteraceae
Description: hypothetical non coding rna
Source: RNAcentral
UAUUUGUUCAUUGGAUCUUAUUUGCACCUACAAACUUCAGAUUUUUAUGUUAUCAGGUUAAAACAUAAGAAAAUUACUUAAUUAAUGGUGCUUGUUGCGCGUUUACAUGUCAAUUUAUUAUAAUGGGUUGUUUUUGUUAAUGAUAUAUGAAAUACACCCUUUAAUUUUAUAAAGAAAAACGAAGAUAGUAUAUUUAGUACCUGGAGAUGGUGAUGAAACUGGCGGGGAAGCCCGGGAAUUUGGCGGUACUGGUGUCGGAGAUGGUGGUGGGGGUAUGACAAGAGUACUAACGUUAAAAAACCCAUAAGUCUCGUACCUAAAGUUACACUUAGGUGCAAGAUUUCUGCCUCCAAUAAUCCCGCCAAACCGAUUGGAAAACAGACUGAUAGCAUUUUCCAAACACUCAUUGCAUAGUAGCUGCGUUAAGUCUGGAGUACACUGCACAAGCCCGUAAAUAUUUGAGAAAUCUGGCCCGGUCGUGUUCCCAGUGGCAAACUUCCUCAGCGAACCACCAGCAGCCGCGGCUGCAGUCAGAUUGCUCAACAACGGUCUAAGAGCCGCAGUAAACCGAUCCCUAUUUGUCGCGUUUUGGGUGUUCAGCAAAUACACACUAGUCUGCAUGGGAUUGUUUCCCAAUAUACUUCGGUUGGAGUAUACUAGGAAACAGUAGUCGUAGUAUCCUACUGCUUCCUUUUGGUUAGGGCAGACUCGUGGCAAGUUAACAAUGGAGUCGUUCAGACAACUCAAACACACGUCAGGAUUGACGUCGCCUCGACAAAGAGCGACCGAGUUGACUCUAUCGCUGCCUUGGCCACGGGUGGCGUUGAAGAAACCUUGGCCCGAGUUGGUGGAAGGAAGGGCAGCGAGGACGGUGUUGAGGUUUCUUUGGUAUGUACUGUUUCUGGUAUAAUUGCCGAUGGAUUGCGCGCAGUUAGAGUAAAUGAAUUCGGCUUGUUGAGCCCGGGUGAUGGUAGUGUUUGAGCAUAUGAAAAUAAGUGUGAACCAUAAGAGUGUUGUGGCGGGUAUGAACAUGCUUGGUUUUGGUGGAGGCUUGGAGGGAGGAGGCUAGAGAAGGUAUGGAAUAAGUAGUUGGGUGUAAGCGUAUGGUUUGUGGUGUGUAAUCGCCACACGUUUUCAAUUACAUUUAACGACUUUAAUUCAGCUUGAAUGAUUGAUGGAAACAUAAAUUGUACUGUGUUAGAAAAUAUAUUGAGAAAUUAUUGAUGUACGAUAACGUGUAGAAUUUAAUUCAGCUUGAAUGGUUGACUGAAACAUAAAUUGUACGGUGUUAGAAAACAUAUUGAGAAAUUAUUAUUGUACUAUAACGUGUAGAAUAGGGGGAGGAGGGGUGGUCACUAGUGAUAGAUUUCUAUCACUUCCACUAUCCAAUCAAAUCAUGCCAUGUCAUCACCCAAUAUUCUAUCACUAUGAUGGAAAUUGGAUUGAUGACAUGGCAUUACUUGAUUGGAUAGUGGGAGUGAUGGAAUUCCAUCACUAGUGAACCACCCCUGGUCCCCUUAUAGUCGAAUAAUUCUCUAAAUUCUAUAUAAAAACAAUCCUUAGAAAAUGUAACCAAUUCAGGACCGACACAUGCCAUAAAAUUACGUAAAUUUCGCAGUUUAGAUCAUGGCCUACCAAGAAAUAUUCACGAUCAGGAAUAUAUAAUUCAAGGAAAUUUCGUCGUUCAUUAUUUGAUUUGACAGGCUAGUCAAGUGGUGACAUGUUGGUACGAAACUUUUAUGCUAUCCACAUAUAUCGAUCGCUUAACUUGUUUUGUAAACAAUGGCAUAAAUAAUGAUGGAGAUCUUAGGGUAUUUGUGGAACAACCAUAAUUUAUUGAUCUGUUAUGUGAAAGUUUGAUUUGUGUUUGGAAUUUUAAGACAUCCUCUCUCUUUAUAUACAUUUUGAUUUGUGUUUGAAUUUUAAGACAUCCUCUCUCUUUCUCUACUUUCUUUUCGUUAAAUUCUUUUUUCGUCCACGUGGUUUGUUAAUUUUAACCAGCUCUUGAAUAUAAUCGUCAAACUGUCAACCCCUCUUUGUCUACUUUUCAAGAUUCUUUUCACGUAAAUUGUGGUCCAAACUAGAAAUUGAACAGACAGAGACGAUGGAUGGUGUAUGUGGACUCUUUGUUUGUUUUCUGAUGAUGG